CCAUUCCUACAUAACAAACCACCUCAAAACAUAGCGACUUGGAACAACAAUUUAUUUUUCCUUAUAAUUAUGUGGGUUGGCUAGAGAGUUGCUUUGCUAGCUUCAUCUGGGCUCGCACAAAUGGCUGUGUUCUCUGGAGGUGUGGGGGGAGGGUCAACUGUGCUGGAAGAUACGAGAUAGACUCACUCAACCUGGCAGUUGCUGUUGAAUGUCAUCUGGUAUGUUCUGGUUUAUUGCUACAUAGACUGGUGGUCUACUUUGUAAUCUCAGGUCACUGCUCUGAGAGUACAAAGCCAGAAAAUGCAAGGCGUGUUGAGGCUUGGGCUGGGGUCAUGCACAGCAUCACUUCCAUUGGCACUGUAUUGGCGAAAGCUAUCACAAAGUGACCUGACUCAAGGGAAGAGGAAAUAAAGCCCAUUUCUCUCUCACAUUUUCAAUCCUCACCUGAGGACAUUUUUUUUUCCAAUGCUUUUUAGAGAGAGAAAGGGAGAGAAAGAAACAUCAGUGUGAGAGAGGAGCAUCUAUUGGUUGCAUCAGUGUGUGUCUGGAACAGAUAUUGCACGUGCCUGGACCGGGAACCUGGCUAGCAACCCAGGUAUGUGUCCGACCAGGAAUUGAACCCACAACCCUUUGGCUUUGAGGUGAUGCUCCAACCAACUGAGUCAUACCAGCCAGGGCUAAACCCCAUCUCUUGAUGAGAAAAACAUUCACAUUCAUACUGCAAAGGAGCAGGGGUAAAUUAUUGUGGCCAUCUUUCAAAACAAUGGUGCGUGGAGUCAUUGUGUAGUAAAUGGGUCAGAGAAAGUGUGGUUGGCUUCCUCACUUUCCUGUGCAGCAGGAGUUCCUACUAGGGCCUGUCUGCUGAUGUUGCAUGUGGUCUCACCCUUCCCCCUCCCUCGCCGCCUCUUCCAUGGCAGCCAGAAAGGAUGACUGCCUGUAUCCACCCUGCACUAACUCGGGACUGGGCAAUGGGAACUGGAAACUGAGGCCUGGUCACCUUUUCUUGUAUCCUAGUGACAUGGUUAGGUGUAAACCAGUUGGAACUAAUCAUCUCUAGAAAAAAAAAAUUCUCCACCUGAUCGAUCCAGCACAGGUGACUGUGGAUCUUUGUUUUGUGGUUUGUUAAUUGUUCUCUUCCAUGUGUUUUCUUUAGGAAACACAUGAGAUUUCUUUAGGAAAUCUCAGGAUUGGUAGGAGAAGCAUGCCUAACACCGUAUCAGACACAUUGAGGUCCCUCAGUAAAUGUCUAAAGAAACCACCGUGGGCUGCUCAAAACUGUAGAGAGUGGUUGUGUUUUCCAGUGCUUUCCAUGCAUAACAACUGCCCCAUGCUUCUGUGGUACUCUCUUAGUGUUUGUCGACUGACAAAUGCAUGCACAAAUGUAUGAGCCCUGCUUAUGAUCCGUUCAAUGCAUCAGCGUCGGCUGGUUUUGUGAGAACAUGGACUUUUAAGGGAGUCAAUUGAGUAGCCUCCCUGAGAGAUGAUCAACCCUGUCCCCAUUCUAUUUUGGGCUCUCCCUGCACUGGGAGCCGGCUGGCCAGCCUGCCCGACUCCUGAUGGACUUCGCCGUCUCAGAGCCUCACUCUGGGGCCUGGGAGACUGCCUCCCACUACGGUGUGCUCUCUUUGGGAAAUUUCAAUGGCUUCUGAAUUACUUAUAGGCCCAGAAGUGAGCGACGCCCAUUAUUAGAACGCAGGCUUUAAAAUGACUCCAUUUCAAGUUGCCGGCUUGGCAGCCUGACCCUGUCCUCAGAGAAUGCAGCCUGGUCACGAAGGAGACAGACUUUUGAAAAAAUAACAAUAUGGUCAAGGAGUGAAGGAAAUGACCUUGGAAGUACCUUGCACUUGCAUAAGCCAUGCUUUGCCUGUUUUCCCAUGUAUAAUGUGGCCAAAGUUCGGAUUUCUUUUCUCAGGAUGGAAUCACACCAGCAGUUUUUCCCUCAAUCUGAUCAACUUGAAACAAGCAGUUCGUUCCUCUCUGGCAGCUGACUUUUUAAUCCUGGGUCACAUGUCACUUCUAAUUGUGGCAUGAUGUUCGAGUUCCCCUUGGGCCUAAAUUUCACCCGAGUAAAUCCUGUCUUUUGGCGGCUGCAGAACGUGUCCAGCAGAGUGAUGUCCAGGCACACCCAUGCCUCCUGCAAGAGGGAGCAGCUUAGCCAGUAUGGACCUCAGGAAGUCAGUCUCCUUCAACGGACUUUGUAGCCAUGCCCACAUGGCUGCCCUGAGCCAGCCACUCAAGGACAGAGACCAGAGACUGCAGGGGGAGGAGAAGGAACAGGAACCCUGGUGUUGGGGAUGUCCUUCCUACUUCUAAGUAAAUGGGCAGUGUUUUCAGGGGAGAAUGUGCUGGAAUGACUGGGACGUUGAAAAAUAACCUGAGCUGAACUCUUACCUGGCUGGGUUAAAUGGAAUCUGGGCUUCUCACUAGAGUGGGGCCACUUCCGCAGAAAGCCUCAGGGGUAAUUUACUCACCCUGAGCGAUGUUCUCAGAUAUCCUCAGAGAAGGUCGGAUUUCUUCCUAGGGUGAAGCACCCUGACAGUUACGUGAGCCAGAAGUUUCCUUUUGCCCCAACAUUUUAUUAUGGAAAAGUUCAAACAUCUGACAAACUUGAAAGAGUUUUACAGUGAGCACCAGUGGACUUGCCGUGGAUUCUACCAUUCGCACCUUGCUAUACCUGCUCUAUUUUACUUGUGUGUAUUGCUCCAUCCAGCCGUCAGCCCAUGUUUUUUGGAUGCAGUUCAGAGCCAAUCACAGAUAUUGCUGUAUUUCCCCUGAACACGUAUGCAUGUAACCAGAAUUCAGUAUUUGUUUAUAGAUUUUUCUUCCUAUGGGAUAAAAUUUGCUUACAUU
Phyllostomus discolor (pale spear-nosed bat) is the source of this 2850-nucleotide long non-coding RNA. RefSeq lists it as uncharacterized. Lineage: Eukaryota; Metazoa; Chordata; Mammalia; Chiroptera; Phyllostomidae. The transcript has 2 exons. The record is from RefSeq and is a predicted model, not a curated record.